GGUAUUUAGUACAUUCACAGUGUUGUGCAACCAUCACUACUAUAUAGUUCUAGAACAUUUUCAUUACCUCAAAAGGAGACUCCAUACUCAUUAUGUGGUCACCUUCCCCUCAGCCUCUGACAACCACUGAUCUGCUUCCUGUUUCUAUAGAUGUGCUUGGUAUUUUGAGGAAGACCAAGAAGCUAGCUUGGCUGGAGCAUUAUAUGUAGUAGGAGAGAAAGUCAAUGAAGUAACAGAGAGCUGAAUCCUUUGUCAGCCAUUGUUAAGGACUGUGUCUUUUACUCUGAAUGAAAUGGAGAACUAUUCCAGAGUUUUAAAUUGAGGGAUGAAAUGCUCCAUGGGAGAGUAGAGUGGGGGGAGUGUGUGUAACAAGGAUAGAAGGAAGAAGUGUGACUAAGAGAUUCUCAAGACAACUCCUAUCAUUUAAAAAGGAAGAUCAAUUUAUGAGCAGGAAAGUCAGAAAUAAGAAACAUGUCUGAGAGAUUCUCUUUCUGAAUCACUAAUAAUAAACCUAUGUUUUACAAAAUAAAAUACUUUUAAAAACUAUCCAGUAAAGGUUUUGUUCAUGUACUUCUUAUAGGUUAGUUUAUAAUUAUUUUCACAAAAACUAAGAAAAUUUGGGAAAUUUAAAAGUCAUGGAAAGAAUCAGAAUAAUCUUUCUUCCCAGCCCCUUGGAAAAACAGGAUAUUAUAUGCAAUGUUUAUUUUAAGGCCUUUACAAUGCUUUAUUUAGGUACAUAAAAAUGCAUUAUGUAUAACUUAACUAAUAAAAUUUUGUCUGGGAUAAUUAAAUUUUAAAAAUAUGUUAGAUUAAGAAAGCAAUUGCAAAUUUACUAAUUGAAUUUGCUACUUGAUGUUUUUAAUUUUUUUAAAUCACAACUAGGGUUAUAAAGUUGCUUAGGUGAAAGAAUUUAACUUUUAUUACAUGUUCCAGUAAUCAAGAAGCAAAUGAACACUAGACAACCAUCGAUACUAGUAUUACAAGUAAACAGAUUCUGUUUUCACUAGUUUUAUGACAUUAAAAAGUUUUAGAGAAGAGUUUUCUGAAAAGUAGCUACACAAUAAAGGGAGGGAACCCUUGCAUUCACUGGAUGUGGUCUUUUGAUGUGAAACUUGGUUGAAUUGUUUGCAGUUUUUGAGCUGGCACCUUCCCCAGUAUCUUCUGGUGUACUGUUUCAUGCCUGUCUUGUUUCUUUACUCACGUAAGUGCCAAACGAAUGUUUAUAAAGACUAACAGAUAGUUUCAUGGGUGCUUGAGAACUAAUGAUUUUCCUGCAUUGAGGCAUGCUACUCUACUGUUUCAUUUGAUGAUUGUUUUACAACCUAAUGUUUCCAAAUGAAGGUCAAUUUCUUUCCACCACUACAUAAGAUGAAGGAGGUGG
Molecule: long non-coding RNA, 1381 nt
Organism: Equus caballus (horse)
Lineage: Eukaryota; Metazoa; Chordata; Mammalia; Perissodactyla; Equidae
Source: RefSeq, a predicted model, not a curated record